RNAcentral lists this ribosomal RNA (492 nucleotides) under uncultured bacterium. RNAcentral's name for it is "partial 16S ribosomal RNA". It matches the Rfam family "Bacterial small subunit ribosomal RNA", at positions 29 to 507 of the family's 1533-position model. The record is from RNAcentral.
AGUGAACGCUGGCGGUAGGCCUAACACAUGCAAGUCGAACGGCAGCACAGUAAGAGCUUGCUCUUACGGGUGGCGAGUGGCGGACGGGUGAGGAAUACAUCGGAAUCUACUUUUUCGUGGGGGAUAACGUAGGGAAACUUACGCUAAUACCGCAUACGACCUACGGGUGAAAGCAGGGGAUCUUCGGACCUUGCGCGAUUGAAUGAGCCGAUGUCGGAUUAGCGAGUUGGCGGGGUAAAGGCCCACCCAGGCGACGAUCCGUAGCUGGUCUGAGAGGAUGAUCAGGCACACUGGAACAGAGACACGGUCCAGACUCCUACGGGAGGAAGCAGUGGGGAAUAUUGGACAAUGGGCGCAAGCCUGAUCCAGCCAUACCGCGUGGGUGAAGAAGGCCUUCGGGUUGUAAAGCCCUUUUGUUGGGAAAGAAAAGCAGCAGGUUAAUACCCCGCUGUUCUGACGGUACCAAAAGAAUAAGCACCGGCUAACUUCGUG